AGGACUGUAGCUCAGUUGGUUAGAGCACCACCUUGACAUGGUGGGGGUCGUUGGUUCGAAUCCAAUCAGUCCUA
This 74-nucleotide transfer RNA is filed under the name Malikia granosa. It matches the Rfam family "tRNA". Rfam says of the family: Transfer RNA (tRNA) molecules are approximately 80 nucleotides in length. Their secondary structure includes four short double-helical elements and three loops (D, anti-codon, and T loops). The record is from Rfam by way of RNAcentral. Lineage: Bacteria; Pseudomonadati; Pseudomonadota; Betaproteobacteria; Burkholderiales; Comamonadaceae.